RNAcentral lists this ribosomal RNA (453 nucleotides) under uncultured bacterium. RNAcentral's name for it is "bacterial SSU rRNA". It matches the Rfam family "Bacterial small subunit ribosomal RNA", at positions 473 to 924 of the family's 1533-position model. The record is from RNAcentral.
AAUUCGAUUAGGAAUAAGCGUCGGCUAACUCCGUGCCAGCAGCCGCGGUAAUACGGAGGAUGCAAGCGUUAUCCGGAAUGAUUGGGCGUAAAGCGUCCGCAGGUGGCUAUGUAAGUCUGCUGUUAAAUAGUGAGGCUCAACCUCAUAAAGGCAGUGGAAACUACAUGGCUAGAGUGCGUUCGGGGCAGAGGGAAUUCCUGGUGUAGCGGUGAAAUGCGUAGAGAUCAGGAAGAACACCGGUGGCGAAAGCGCUCUGCUAGGCCGCAACUGACACUGAGGGACGAAAGCUAGGGGAGCGAAUGGGAUUAGAUACCCCAGUAGUCCUAGCCGUAAACGAUGGAUACUAGGCGUGGCUUGUAUCGACCCGAGCCGUGCCGUAGCUAACGCGUUAAGUAUCCCGCCUGGGGAGUACGCAGGCAACUGUGAAACUCAAAGGAAUUGACGGAAUCACUA